AGGAUGAAGCCAAGGAAGAAGACGGAGAGAAGAGAGGAAGGACACGCCCAUUAACCAAAGGACCCAAAACAUAUCUCAAGGAGCUCAUGAAGUCAUCCUCAUGCACACAGUUUCCCAGGUGUCAGAUCUGUUUGGGCCACAAACCUAAGAAGAACAUCAUGUGAGGAUGAAGGCAGAGAGCAAGGUGAUGCAGCUGAAGCCAAGGACACGGAAGACUUUCUGCAAACCCCCAGAAGCUGGAGGAGAGGCCCUCCCAGUCUCCAGAAGGAGCCAACCACGCUGAUACCUUGACCUUGGACUCCUAGCCCCAGAACUAUGAGAAAUAAAUUUCUGUUAUUCAAGCCACUCAGUUGUCUUACUUGGUUGUGGCAGCCCUGAGAGGCUAAUUCUCAGCGCUUUCUGUGGAUGUCCUCAACACUCUCCUGGUUCUCCUCCUGCCUCAAAAGCACU
Molecule: long non-coding RNA, 450 nt
Filed under: Pongo abelii (Sumatran orangutan)
Lineage: Eukaryota; Metazoa; Chordata; Mammalia; Primates; Hominidae
Description: lincRNA
Source: RNAcentral